This is an RNA transcript of Arachis stenosperma, 3152 nucleotides long. It is a transcript of the gene named K(+) efflux antiporter 4-like, with no coding region annotated. The record is from RefSeq and is a predicted model, not a curated record. NCBI's taxonomy places the organism in Eukaryota, Viridiplantae, Streptophyta, Magnoliopsida, Fabales, Fabaceae. The transcript has 18 exons.
GUAACACGCGCCUGAAUGUGCAUAGUUAAGUUGAGUUCUGCCCUCCUCACUACACUCGCAGAACAUGGAGGAUUGGAGGAUGAUUUGGUACUUUCCCACUUACACUCCACAACACAACGCUUCUUUCCCCUUUCGCUCUCACUGCUUUCACACAUUUUCCCUCUGCUGCAUCUUCCUUUGCGUAACAUAGCCAUAUUCGCGCGCCAACCACCUUCCUCUUAUUAAUUCUCCGGCAGUGUAGCCAACUCUCCCGUUCUCUCUCUCUCUCUCUCUCUCUCUCAUUCGAAUCUGGGAGAUGAGGUUGUUAUCGAAUUCGAUUCUUAACCUCCUCCUUCUCUGCGACCUGCUUCUCUUUUGUCCCUCAUUCUUCUCUCUCGUCUCUGCUGAGUCGGAGUCGGAGCCGGAGCUUCUCCUCCGAGGAACCAACGCAACCGCCACCGGCAAUGCCUCGCUUGCGAGAUCCGGCGAGGAUAGCUUCGCCAACAUGAUUGAUCGGGCGCUCGAGAGAGAGUUCCCCGAGAAUGAACAGAAUGAAGGUAAUGAUGCUGGCGGUUUUAACAAUAGUGUUGCUGAACAGCAGGCUGUUUUGGAAACUGUUGCUAGAGUUAAGUCCAAGAAAAAUGAGAGCAAAGAAGAAAAAUCAUUUCAUAUUCAUGAUGUUUUCCAUUUGGAUACUGAGAAUCGUGCAGAGGAUAUGCCAACCUUAAUUGAUCGAAAGGAUAACGUGUUUAUCAUCUCCAAUCCCAAGUCAAAGUAUCCUGUUCUUCAAGUAGACUUGAGAUUGAUAUCAGAUCUUGUGGUUGUCAUUGUUUCUGCAACAUGUGGUGGCAUUGCCUUUGCUUGUGCUGGACAACCGGUUAUGACAGGAUAUCUGUUGGCAGGAUCACUCAUUGGACCUGGUGGCUUGAGUUUUGUUAGUGAAAUGGUCCAAGUUGAGACUGUUGCUCAAUUUGGUGUUAUCUUUUUGCUUUUUGCAUUGGGAUUAGAAUUUUCAACAACAAAGCUUCGAGUUGUUCGAGCGGUGGCUAUUCUUGGCGGUCUACUUCAAAUUUUCUUAUUUAUGUGCUUGUGUGGAAUAACAGCUACGCUAUGUGGUGGUAAAUCAUCUGAAGGAAUAUUUGUGGGUGCAUUUCUUUCUAUGUCUUCAACAGCUGUGGUCUUGAAAUUCUUGAUGGAAAGGAAUAGUGUCAAUGCCCUUCAUGGUCAGGUUACAAUUGGAACACUGAUUCUGCAGGAUUGUGCUGUUGGUUUGCUCUUUGCAUUGCUUCCAGUAUUGGGUGGAACAUCAGGUGUUCUUCAGGGAGUAAUAUCCAUGACUAAAUCGUUGGUCAUCUUAAUUGCAUUUUUGGCCAUUUUGUCGAUAGUAUCUCGUACUUGUGUACCAUGGUUUCUUAGGCUUAUGAUAAGCCUAUCAUCUCAGACCAAUGAACUUUAUCAAUUGGCAUCAGUGGCAUUCUGCCUACUUGUGGCUUGGUGUAGUGAUAAGUUGGGUUUAAGUCUCGAACUUGGUUCCUUUGCUGCGGGCGUGAUGAUAUCAACAACAGAUCUUGGUCAACAUACACUAGAACAAGUUGAGCCAAUUCGCAACUUUUUUGCCGCACUGUUCUUGGCCAGCAUUGGGAUGCUUAUACAUGUCCAUUUUCUUUGGAAUCAUGUUGACAUCUUAUUGGCAGCUGUUAUACUGGUGAUCAUCAUAAAGACAAUUGUAGCUGCAUGUGUUGUCAAGGGGUUUGGUUACAACAACAAGACUUCACUUCUUGUUAUUCUACAUGUGUAGGUUGGGAUGUCUUUGGCACAAAUUGGGGAGUUCGCCUUUGUUCUUCUCAGUCGUGCUUCAAAUCUUCAUCUAGUGGAGGUGAUUGCUUCAUCACGAAUGUUGGUUUGAGCUUCUUUGUGCUUAUGGUUAGGCUUAGGAAGACAAUGAACCUUUUCUUCCUACAUAGUUGGAGACAACUUUAGCACUUUUCGUGGCUGUGUUAUUACCAUUUGAAGCAUGAACUUUAUUAUUUUGUUGCCUAUAAAUACUUGUAUGCAACUGAACUGAUCCUUACUGCAGGGAAAGUUGUAUCUAUUACUCCUUGGAACAACGGCUCUCAGUCUGGUAUGCAUCAACUAUUUGACAGAAUGAUAGUUUUACAUAGUAUUCUAAUAAAAUAUUGUUGAUUUAUUGUUCUUUCAAGCAAUCCCAAUGUGUUCAUCUGUCAUGAGGUCAAAUUAGUAUGUUUCUUUAGGUACAUAACUAUAUUAUAUUCAUUUUGUUGAUCAUUUGACAAUCAUAAACAUCUAUAAGCAGGGUAUCAUUAGUAACUUUCGAAAGUUUCAUUAGACUAUGACUUGGAAGUAAUACAUUGGGUCUUCCUGUGUAAGAAUUCUUAUUCUAAAGUUGAACAUUAUAGCCAAUUUCUUGGGUAAUCUUAUAAAGAUUUGAUUAUGAAUUCUCAGGUAUUUUUAGUUGAUUAUGUUAUUCCUAGAAAUUUUGAAGCUUAUGCUGGUGGAAAUAAUGCAGGUGACUACACCUCUGCUUUUCAAGUUAAUUCCUGCCGUGGUGCAUCUUGGUGCUUUGCUGCGGUGGUUCCCUCCUGAUAGUCCAUCUGAGAUUCCCUAUAAGGGGGACAGCUUUCGGUCAGACAGUGCUAAGCGUGUUACUUUGUUGGUUCAAGGCUCUCAUAAUUCAUGAUGUUAAAAUAGAUCAGAAAUGCAAUUUGCGGCUUUAUCAGAUCGCUUGUACUUUUGAGGAAGACAGGAAAAAUAGUGCAAAUGAGUUUGUCCAAGAGAAUACAUUUGCCAUUGUAAAGGAAUACAUAUAUAUACUGCAUGCCUUUCGGACCAGUCUCAGGAGACGAUCAAUGCCAAACGCUGCUGGGAGAGAGGGUCACGAGUUUGAACCGGAUCCAUUCACUAACAUGGUAACUUGGGCCAUAUUGUUAUUAACUAGGGUGGCCUAAUUUUGUGUAUAAAUUAAUGUCCAGUCGCUUUUAGUAGGGGCAAUUCAUUUUAGGUGCAUUCCUUUUUUUUCUUCUCCACAUUAUUUUUCUGUUUCUUUAAUCCAAAUUUUGGGUUGAUCGGUUUUCAAAUAUGUAUAAGUUGUUCUGUAAAAGUCUAGAAAUCAAGGCAAUCAUCAAAUUCAAAUGUAUCAUGUUGCGAUCCCUGGA